UUAAAACUCGUGUCGUCCAUGAAUGAGACUCCUAAUGGCGGAUGGAGGAGUAUUUAUUUAACAUACUCCACAUUCCUUUCAUAAACUCCGUACUGAAAAGUUUCGCCUCAACUAUGAGGGAACGGAUGGAGUACUUAUAUUCAUUUCAAACAUAGGGUAGAAAUGAAUCGAUGGCCCAGAUUAAUCGACCCCAAUCUUUAAUCUUGAUAGAACAAGCUGAUGCGCAGCUGAUCCAUCAAUCUCUACAAACUCCAACUUGAUGGCUUAACUGCCAUUCAGACUACCCCUGCAAAGAUUCGCCAAAUUCAUACACAACUCAUGUUUUGGCCUUUGGUAGAGGUUUAGUCAGCAUAUCUGUUGGAUUGUCUGUUGUGUCCACUUUGAAGACUUUUCUCCCUCCUUCCUCUAUCCUCUUCCGAAUGAAGUACAAGCUUACAUCGAUAUGCUUGCUCCUCUCGUGAUAAACUUGGCUAAAGUAGAAUGCGCUGUUGUUAUCACAGCCAAUGCUCAAAGUCGCUUGAGCAAUACCAAAAUCUUCCAACAUUCCUCUAAGCCAGAAACUUUCUUUUACAUAAACAUUUACAAUUGGCAUCAAUCCACAAGUAAAUUAGAAAUAAAAAAAAUAUAUAUAUUAGUCGUCAUGAAAGCAAACUACCUUGAAUGAAAGGCUUUAAACUGUACUGCAUUCUCUUCCAACUCUGUCUUUCACUCUAUACCAAUUAUCCUUUUCUCUUUCUGAAUCAGUUAUAAGCUUAAGCAAUGGAAGGAGAAGCUGUUGCUGCCGUCAUUAAAGUUGUAGUUCAAAACCUCAUCGACCAUUCCAAGACAGAGAUCUCACUAAUCCGUGGUCUCGACAAAGAAGCAGCAAAGCUAGCUGGGAAUUUGGAUACGAUCCAGAAAUUCUUGAACGAUGCUGAGAACCGUACUAUUCCCGGUGGGGCUGUCGAAAGCUGGCUGAGGAAGCUCGAAGAUGUGGCGUUUGAUGGUGACAACGUUUUGGAUGAGCUCAAUUACCAUCUUCUCUCGAAACAAAUUAACUCUAUCAAACCCAUGAAACAAAAGGUACUCUCAUGCUUCUCACCAUUCAGUCAUAUUGCGCAUCCCAGAAAUAUAGCUCUAAAAAUUCAAGAAAUCAAUGAGAAUUUAGAGUCCAUUCAAAAAGAGGGAGCCGGGCUUGGCCUCAAAGAGAGGCUAGCCAACGAUGUGCCAAAACUGCCUCAUGCUGCUUUUGAAACUGAUUCCUUCUCACAUGAUCCAAUUUUCAUAGGAAGAGAUGAGUUGGUGUCGGAAAUAAUUGAGGUUAUUAACACUAGUACCACAACUGAUGAACGUGUAAUUUCUAUCUUUGCCAUUGUUGGAAUGGGAGGAUUGGGGAAGACAACCUUGACUAGGAAUGUCUUUCAUCAUCCAAAGAUAAAAACUCUCUUUGGAUCACAUAUUUGGGUGCAUGUUUCUCAAAUUUUUGAUCCAAUCAUUCUUUUCAAAAAAAUCCUCAAGGAGUUGACUUCUUCUGAUCAUGAUGAAAUCGAGAGUAGCCAAGGUAUUCUCAAAAACACUUCUUCUGAUCAGAGUAGGCAGGAUUUUCUCAAAAAGACUUCUUUUGGUCAAGUUGAUGUUGAGAGUAGUCAAGAUUUUGUGAAAAGGAAUUAUCAUGAUCAAGUUGAGGUCGAGAGUAGGCAAGGUAUUCUGAAAAGGCUUCAAAAAGCUUUAAAAGAUAAAACUUAUAUGCUUAUUCUCGAUGAUGUUUGGAAUCAAGAUCAUCCCAAAUGGGAUGAUUUUAUCAAUUCUUUGGUGGGCAUCACUUCUACCAAGAGGAAUGUGAUUGUUAUUACCACCAGAAACAUGGAAGUCGCUUCAACUAUGAAAUCACUUCAUACACAUGAGCUCAAAGGAUUAUCAAAUGAAGAUUGUUGGUUAAUAAUCCAAGCAAAAACUUUUGGAAAAGAGGAUAUUCCAUUAGAGUUUGAGGCCAUAGGGAGGAAGAUUGCAACAAGAUGUCAAGGUUUGCCAUUAGCUGCUAAUGUAGUUGGUGGAGCACUAUGCAAUAAAUCGGAAGAUGAAUGGCUCUCGAUCGAGGAGAAAUGGCUUUCACAUGAUGAAGGGGAUCGUAUCACAAAGAUAUUGAAGUUGAGCUUUGAUAAUUUGUCUCUACCCUCACUGAAAAAAUGUUUUGCAUGUUAUUCACUUUUUCCUAAAGGUCGCAAAAUCAAAAGUCAAGAACUGAUUGAGUAUUGGAUGGCAGAAGGAUUUCUUGAAGCUAAUGGAAGAAGUGAGAUGGAGUGCUUGGGUGACAAAUUUAUGAAAGUUCUUCUGCACAACUCUCUACUACAAGUUGUAGAAAGAGAUGAUUAUGGAAAUGUAGAGAGUUGUGUGAUGCACGAUCUUGUGCAUGACCUCGCAUGUUCAAUUUCAGGUUCUUCUAAUAAUACAGAAGGCGGGAGCCGAGUGAGAUACAUGAUUCACGAUGAAGAAAGUCAUAUUCCAAAAGAUGUGGCAAAAUAUUUGCGUACGUUACUGUUCGAGGGGUGCAUUUAUGGUAACAUGUUUGCAGAUUUUGAGCAUCUACAUGUUUUAAUUCUAGCUGAUGAUGAAUGUAAAAGGUUGCCAAGUUCGAUAAGGAAGUUGAUACAUUUAAGGAAACUUGAUAUUUCGUCGACGCGUAUAAAAUAUUUGCCGGACUGGAUUGGUGAACUCCAUCAGUUGCAAACAUUAAACGUAUGUACAGGAAGUUUCUUGAGGGAACUGCCUAGUACUUUGAAGUACUUGAUUAAUUUAAGGCAUCUUUAUAUUGAUGAUGAUGUAGAGUUGCCUGCCGAGAUUGGGAGUUUAACUUCUCUCCAGACGCUAAAGUAUUUUAAAGUUGGUGAGAAAGAUGGAUGGAAAAUUGAAGAGCUUGGAAGUUUGAAUGGUCUCAAAGGAACAUUGGAAAUUUCUAACCUUGAAAAGGUUGAAAACAAGGAGGUGGCUGAGAAAGCAAGUCUAUCUCAAAAGUCAAAAUUAUUGGAUUUGUGUUUGAGAUGGGAUCAAGAUAGAGAAGUUGAAACUCCAAAUGAUGAGAAUGUGUUAGAAGGCCUCCAACCUCACCCUAAUAUGAAGAAAUUAGAGAUUGAAGGGUUCAAGGGAAAAAGAUUUCCAUCCUGGACGCGAAAUAUGGUAAUUGAAAAUGUGCCUCAAGGUUGUUGGGUAGCACUUAACAAGUUGAUUGAGAUAAAGCUCUCAAAAUGCUCAGAAUGUGAAGAAAUCCCAAUGUUUGGGCAGUUGCCAAAUCUCAAGUCUCUUUGUUUGCAAGGAUUCAGUAAUUUGAAGUCCAUAAAUUCUUCUUUCUAUGGAUUAGUGAAUGAGGAGACACAUAUUGUUUUUCCAGCUCUAGAAAGGCUCGUGUUGAUUGAAAUUCCUAAGCUUGCGGAUUGGGAAGAAGUAGAAUCUACAGGUGCAAAUGAUGUGAAGGUAUUUCCUAACCUCCAACACUUGGAGAUCACUCAGUGCAAGCAAUUGAUGAGUUUUCCUAAUCAUUCAUGGACAUGCCUCAAAAGUUUGAUAAUCAAGGGGAGUGGGGGCGCUUUAACAUACAUAUUCAAGACGAAAUUAAAGUUGCUGACAGAGCUUUGGAUAGAAGGAAUAGAUGAUCUGGAAUAUCUCCCAAAUUGUUUAUUCUAUAACAAUCCCAAUCUCUUGGAGUUAAGUAUAAGAAUGUGUUCCAGUUUCAGAGAACUACCAGAUGGUCUAGGCACCCUCAAUUCUUUGGAGAAGCUGAUUAUAAGAGACUGUCCAAAUUUGGAACGAUUAGCUGAUCUUGGUGUACAACAAUCACAAGGAAGCCUUGCACGUCUUAAAAGGUUGGAGAUUUGUGAAUGCAAAGCUUUGCUGUACAUACCAUGUGAAAUGGUAGGAUCCUUGCUUGAGGUAUUGGUGUUGAAGAAUUUAAGUAGCCUAAAGAAUCUACCUAGAAUAAUUGAUUGUCUGCCGAAAUUACCUCGUCUAGCAAGUUUAGUAAUUACUGGUGUUUCUCAAUUUAUGGCCACUUUGUCUAGUAAUAUGUUAGAGAUGGAUGUUAGUGUGGAGGGAUCUUUGGAGACCGUUGAAGGCUUAUUGCAAAGAUGCAACUCCCGCUCACUUAGGUAUAUAAAAUUGAAAGGGAGAGAAGCUUGGGGAAAUUUGCCAGAAUCAAUUCAACAUCUCACCUCUAUUAGAUGGUUAACGAUAGAGAAUUAUGGAAUGGAAGAGUUGCCUGAAUGGUUUGGGAACCUCUCAUCUCUAAGCGUAUUGUGGAUAUUUAAUUGCAAGAAGUUAAGGAGUCUACAUGCACUCCGGGGCCUCACAUCACUUUACAUCUUAGAUAUUAGAGGCUGCCCAGAAAUAAUUAUUGAACAACAAAGUGAUGCAGCUGAUUCCCAAUGGCCCAACAUUUCCCAUAUCCCCAGCAUCACGAUUGAUGGACACAGCAUAGUUGAAGGAAGAAGCAAGGGAGAAUUUUGUAUGCAUUUGAUGUUUUCUUCCAUCCUAGUCGUCUCUUAUAUGUUAUGCCAUUGAUGCUUUUGUGGGAAUAGCAAGACUUAUCCAUUGGUGCUGCAUGCUCCGCUCCUAAAAUGCAGUGUUUUUCUUUAAUACUGCGGCAGACCCAAUCACGCUAGGGUUCGAGAAAUUGAAUUCCGGUUUUGAUAAUUUGGACCGGGUGACCGCCGGAAAACCAUAUGGACAGCCAUGAUUCUGAACUUGACGAGGCCGACCAGGAGUGGAGGAUUACCGCCGACACGAUCGUCGAGUACGAGAGGCCUAUGACCGACCCAACCACCACAGAGGCCGAGGGCGUGGCAGGACAGAAAGGGGUGGUCGUGGAGACCGCUUUGGCGAAGUUUUUUAUCCGAACCGUGGGGGACGGAACCGUCAGCGGCGUGGUGAUGCGGAGUUCAAUUCGUUGGGGAGAACGUCUCCAACAGAGGGCCACACACCUUUACACCAUAUUCUUACUCUAUUGAGAUACAGGAGAUUGGAUGGAGUACUAUUUUUAUAUAUUAGGCUAAUCUUCAAGAAGAGACAUCUCCUAACAAUAUUUACCUGUGAACAUCUAGAGCCUCUUUCAUUCUCCUCGACCAACGAAGUGCUAGGUUUCGAGGCAUGGAGCAGAACACACAAGGUAAAUGAAGCUUACCACAUACACAGGCCACACACACGGAGCAAAAUGAGUUCUUUCAAGAUUUGAUCUUCUAUGAAAUAUCCAUUACUUAGGACAUCAUAGUUGUAUUAACAAAUUGUUA
Salvia hispanica is the source of this 5255-nucleotide non-coding RNA. Lineage: Eukaryota; Viridiplantae; Streptophyta; Magnoliopsida; Lamiales; Lamiaceae. The record is from RefSeq and is a predicted model, not a curated record.